Molecule: non-coding RNA, 27 nt
Filed under: Mus musculus (house mouse)
Lineage: Eukaryota; Metazoa; Chordata; Mammalia; Rodentia; Muridae
Source: RNAcentral
UAAAAGUCGGCUACUCGGAGGCGCAGA